CUUUCUCUCUUCACCACAUACUCUCUUUAUGUGGGCAUGCAAACGCGGAUGCAGCGGCUCAGUCACUUUUUGGAUCCAACUUCGAUUCUGCUCAGUACAUCCACUCUCUGCGAUGCCUUUCACUUCACUUCACUCCUCUCUCUCUACCGAUCACCUCUCGAUCAUUGUUCCGUAAUAAAGAAGUUAACAUUUUUCCCGUCUCGUUCUCAUUUUCGGCAGGUAGCGAUGCUCUUUGGAUCUCUUCUUUGCUGCUGCUGCAUCGCUCUUGCUGCAGAGCAUACCUUUACUUUACCUAUAUCUCUUUCUCUUUCUCUGUCUGUUGCUUCUUCAUCUCUGAUGGUGCCAUAACCUCUGCUCGUGUGGGCUUAAUAGAGAAAAUGUAUCGUCACCGCUCUCUGCUCUGUUCGGUCUCUUUUGUCCCUGCUCACUCCACCAGUCUCUUUGUUAGGUUGAACUUUGUGCGGCGUCUAUUUAUGAAUGAAAUCUGUUUAAGCCUGAACGGCUAGCGGCUGGCCCUCCUCUGCCCCACCUCCGAAACUCAGGGCUGCUGUCGAUGAAUGAACGUGCAACACGGCGGCGGCAACACGGCGAUGGCACAAUACAGUUUUUGUCGCUGCAGCGAACGCUGGAAAAUUGAUGUGCGCCAUGGCAGAUGCCAAAUUAAUGGAGCCGGCCACUCCCACUCCCUCCUUCCGCGCUUUGCUUGAGUGAGCAAAUUGAGCCGCCAAUUGAGCAGCAAAAAGAGACCGAGAAGCAGGAAGAUCCGAUACAUUAACCCGUGCGAAGAAAUAUAAGCAGA
Molecule: long non-coding RNA, 799 nt
Organism: Drosophila pseudoobscura
Lineage: Eukaryota; Metazoa; Arthropoda; Insecta; Diptera; Drosophilidae
Exons: 2
Source: RefSeq, a predicted model, not a curated record